AUUGAACGCUAGCGGGAUGCUUUACACAUGCAAGUCGAACGGCAGCGCGGACUUCGGUCUGGCGGCGAGUGGCGAACGGGUGAGUAAUGUAUCGGAACGUGCCCAGUAGCGGGGGAUAACUACGCGAAAGCGUAGCUAAUACCGCAUACGCCCUACGGGGGAAAGCAGGGGAUCGUAAGACCUUGCACUAUUGGAGCGGCCGAUAUCGGAUUAGCUAGUUGGUGAGGUAACGGCUCACCAAGGCGACGAUCCGUAGCUGGUUUGAGAGGACGACCAGCCACACUGGGACUGAGACACGGCCCAGACUCCUACGGGAGGCAGCAGUGGGGAAUUUUGGACAGAGGGGGCAACCCUGAUCCAGCCAUCCCGCGUGUGCGAUGAAGGCCUUCGGGUUGUAAAGCACUUUUGGCAGGAAAGAAACGUCGCGGGCUAAUACCCCGUGGAACUGACGGUACCUGCAGAAUAAGCACCGGCUAACUACGUG
This 484-nucleotide ribosomal RNA is filed under the name uncultured bacterium. RNAcentral describes it as "partial 16S ribosomal RNA". It matches the Rfam family "Bacterial small subunit ribosomal RNA", at positions 30 to 507 of the family's 1533-position model. The record is from RNAcentral.